Molecule: transfer RNA, 72 nt
Filed under: Ailuropoda melanoleuca (giant panda)
Lineage: Eukaryota; Metazoa; Chordata; Mammalia; Carnivora; Ursidae
Rfam family: tRNA
About the family: Transfer RNA (tRNA) molecules are approximately 80 nucleotides in length. Their secondary structure includes four short double-helical elements and three loops (D, anti-codon, and T loops).
Source: Rfam by way of RNAcentral
ACCCAGCUGGCUCAGCAGCAGAGCAUGGGACUCUUGAUCUCAGGGUUGUGAGUUUGAGCCCCAUGUUGGAUG